Molecule: transfer RNA, 97 nt
Filed under: Microbispora bryophytorum
Lineage: Bacteria; Bacillati; Actinomycetota; Actinomycetes; Streptosporangiales; Streptosporangiaceae
Description: tRNA-OTHER
Source: RNAcentral
ACAGCAGUGCCUGCAGCAACGUCUCCGUCAGCCGAGCAGGGUGACUGCUCCGCCUGAAAGCGGAAGGUCGGCAGUUCGACCCUGCCCCUGACCACCA